GAGAAGAACGUAGCGAAAUGCGAUACGUAGUGUGAAUUGCAGAAUUCAGUGAAUCAUCGAAUCUUUGAACGCAUAUUGCGCUCUCUGGUAUUCCGGAGAGCAUGCUUGUUUGAGUAUCAGUAAACACCUCAACUUCCAUAUCUUUUUUGAAAUGGGAGUUGGACUUGAGUGAUCCCAACGCUUUUCCUCACCGAAAAGUGGCGGGUUACUUGAAAUGCAGGUGCAGCUGGACUUUUCUCUGAGCUAUAAGCAUAUCUAUUUAGUCUGCCUAAAAAACAGAUUAUUACCUUUGCUGCAGCUAACAUAAAGGAGAUUAGUUCUUGUGCUGACUGAUGCAGGAUUCACAAAGACAGGCUUCGGCCGACUUUGUAAACUCGAUCUCAAAUCAAGUAAGACUACCCGCUGAACUUAAGCAUAUCAAUAAGCGGAGGA
RNAcentral lists this unclassified non-coding RNA (432 nucleotides) under soil metagenome. RNAcentral's name for it is "partial contains 5.8S ribosomal RNA, internal transcribed spacer 2, and large subunit ribosomal RNA". The stretch from base 3 to 119 matches the Rfam family "5.8S ribosomal RNA", at positions 38 to 154 of the family's 154-position model. The record is from RNAcentral.